AGGACGAACGCUGGCGGCGCGCCUAACACAUGCAAGUCGAACGGAGAUUACAGGCGGAAGUUUUCGGAUGGAAGCUUGUAAACUUAGUGGCGGACGGGUGAGUAACACGUGAGCAACCUGCCUAUCAGAGGGGGAUAACGAUUGGAAACGAUCGCUAAUACCGCAUGACAUAGCGGAAUCGCAUGGUUCUGCUAUCAAAGAUUUUAUCGCUGAUAGAUGGGCUCGCGUCCGAUUAGCUAGUUGGUGAGGUAAUGGCCCACCAAGGCGACGAUCGGUAGCCGGACUGAGAGGUUGAACGGCCACAUUGGGACUGAGACACGGCCCAGACUCCUACGGGAGGCAGCAGUGGGGAAUAUUGCACAAUGGGGGAAACCCUGAUGCAGCGACGCCGCGUGGAGGAAGAAGGUCUUCGGAUUGUAAACUCCUGUUGUUGAGGAAGAUAAUGACGGUACUCAACAAGGAAGUGACGGCUAACUACGUG
This 481-nucleotide ribosomal RNA is filed under the name uncultured bacterium. RNAcentral's name for it is "bacterial SSU rRNA". It matches the Rfam family "Bacterial small subunit ribosomal RNA", at positions 26 to 507 of the family's 1533-position model. The record is from RNAcentral.